RNAcentral lists this ribosomal RNA (559 nucleotides) under uncultured bacterium. RNAcentral's name for it is "partial 16S ribosomal RNA". It matches the Rfam family "Bacterial small subunit ribosomal RNA", at positions 355 to 926 of the family's 1533-position model. The record is from RNAcentral.
UGGGGAAUAUUGCACAAUGGGCGCAAGCCUGAUGCAGCAACGCCGCGUGAGGGACGACGGCCUUCGGGUUGUAAACCUCUUUUAGUAGGGAAGAAGCGAAAGUGACGGUACCUGCAGAAAAAGCACCGGCUAACUACGUGCCAGCAGCCGCGGUAAUACGUAGGGUGCAAGCGUUGUCCGGAAUUAUUGGGCGUAAAGAGCUCGUAGGCGGUUUGUCGCGUCUGCUGUGAAAACCCGAGGCUCAACCUCGGGCCUGCAGUGGGUACGGGCAGACUAGAGUGCGGUAGGGGAGAAUGGAAUUCCUGGUGUAGCGGUGGAAUGCGCAGAUAUCAGGAGGAACACCGAUGGCGAAGGCAGUUCUCUGGGCCGUAACUGACGCUGAGGAGCGAAAGCGUGGGGAGCGAACAGGAUUAGAUACCCUGGUAGUCCACGCCGUAAACGUUGGGCGCUAGGUGGGGACCAUUCCACGGUUUCCGUGUCGCAGCUAACGCAUUAAGCGCCCGCCUGGGGAGUACGGCCGCAAGGCUAAAACGUCAAAGGAAUUGACGGGGUCAUAGCU